Ictidomys tridecemlineatus (thirteen-lined ground squirrel) is the source of this 70-nucleotide non-coding RNA. NCBI's taxonomy places the organism in Eukaryota, Metazoa, Chordata, Mammalia, Rodentia, Sciuridae. The record is from Rfam.
GGGGUUGUAGCUCAGUGGUAGAGCGCUUGCCUGGCACGUGAGAGGCCCUGGGGUUGGAUCCUCAGCACCA